UACGUAGGGGGCAAGCGUUGUCCGGAUUUAUUGGGCGUAAAGAGCGUGUAGGCGGUCUGGUAGGUCCGUUGUGAAAACUCGAGGCUCAACCUCGAGACGCCGAUGGAAACCAUCAGACUAGAGUCCGGAAGAGGAGAGUGGAAUUCCUGGUGUAGCGGUGAAAUGCGCAGAUAUCGGGAGGAACACCCGUGGCGAAGGCGGCUCUCUGGGACGGUACUGACGCUGAGGAGCGAAAGCGUGGGGAGCGAACAGG
This 253-nucleotide ribosomal RNA is filed under the name uncultured bacterium. Its description in RNAcentral is "partial 16S ribosomal RNA". It matches the Rfam family "Bacterial small subunit ribosomal RNA", at positions 524 to 776 of the family's 1533-position model. The record is from RNAcentral.